Molecule: ribosomal RNA, 460 nt
Filed under: uncultured bacterium
Lineage: Bacteria
Description: partial 16S ribosomal RNA
Rfam family: Bacterial small subunit ribosomal RNA
Source: RNAcentral
CCUACGGGUGGCAGCAGUGAGGAAUAUUGGUCAAUGGACGAGAGUCUGAACCAGCCAAGUAGCGUGCAGGAUGACUGCCCUAUGGGUUGUAAACUUCUUUUAUAUGGGAAUAAAAUGUUCCACGUGUGGGUUUUUGUAUGUACCAUAUGAAUAAGGAUCGGCUAACUCCGUGCCAGCAGCCGCGUUAAUACGGAGGAUCCGAGCGUUAUCCGGAUUUAUUGGGUUUAAAGGGAGCGUAGAUGGAUUGUUAAGUCAGUUGUGAAAGUUUGCGGCUCAACCGUAAAAUUGCAGUUGAUACUGGCAGUCUUGAGUACAGUAGAGGUGGGCGGAAUGCGUGGUGUAGCGGUGAAAUGCUUAGAUAUCACGAAGAACUCCGAUUGCGAAGGCAGCUCACUGGACUGCAACUGACACUGAGGCUCGAAAGUGUGGGUAUCAAACAGGAUUAGAGACCCGAGUAGUC